UACGUAGGGUGCGAGCGUUAAUCGGAAUUACUGGGCGUAAAGCGUGCGCAGGCGGUUAUAUAAGACAGUUGUGAAAUCCCCGGGCUCAACCUGGGAACUGCAUCUGUGACUGUAUAGCUAGAGUACGGUAGAGGGGGAUGGAAUUCCGCGUGUAGCAGUGAAAUGCGUAGAUAUGCGGAGGAACACCGAUGGCGAAGGCAAUCCCCUGGACCUGUACUGACGCUCAUGCGCGAAAGCGUGGGGAGCAAACAGG
Molecule: ribosomal RNA, 253 nt
Filed under: uncultured bacterium
Lineage: Bacteria
Description: partial 16S ribosomal RNA
Rfam family: Bacterial small subunit ribosomal RNA
Source: RNAcentral